RNAcentral lists this ribosomal RNA (95 nucleotides) under Clostridium perfringens. RNAcentral's name for it is "partial 23S ribosomal RNA". It matches the Rfam family "Bacterial large subunit ribosomal RNA", at positions 2834 to 2925 of the family's 2925-position model. Lineage: Bacteria; Bacillati; Bacillota; Clostridia; Eubacteriales; Clostridiaceae. The record is from RNAcentral.
UCCCUUGAAGAACACAAGGUUGAUAGGUCGGGGGUGUAAGCGUGGUAACAUGUUCAGCUGACCGAUACUAAUAGAUCGAGGGCUUGACCAAAUAU